GAUUUCUGGUUUGAUGUGCCUGUCCCAUCACGGUAACGUGUGUGAGUGACGGUGUAGAUCUGCCAUCCUUCUAGAUUCGGCAGGCUACUCUUUACUGAGCUGGUCUGUCUGUUCUAGAUCUUUUACUUUGAAAAAAUUAGAGUGUUUCAAGCAGGCUUUUGCUAUGAAUACAUUAGCAUGGAAUAAUGAGUUAGGACUUCGGUUCUAUUUUGUUGGUUUCUAGGACUGAAGUAAUGAUUGAUAGGGACAGUUGGGGGUGCUAGUAUUCAGUGCGAAGAGGUGAAAUUCUUGGAUCCACUGAAGACUAACUUAUGCGAAAGCAUU
This 324-nucleotide ribosomal RNA is filed under the name uncultured Sandona. RNAcentral describes it as "SSU rRNA". The stretch from base 114 to 324 matches the Rfam family "Eukaryotic small subunit ribosomal RNA", at positions 743 to 955 of the family's 1831-position model. The record is from RNAcentral. Lineage: Eukaryota; Cercozoa; Glissomonadida.